RNAcentral lists this small nuclear RNA (166 nucleotides) under Microtus ochrogaster (prairie vole). RNAcentral describes it as "U1 spliceosomal RNA (ENSMOCG00000005261.1)". It matches the Rfam family "U1 spliceosomal RNA". Rfam says of the family: U1 is a small nuclear RNA (snRNA) component of the spliceosome (involved in pre-mRNA splicing). Its 5' end forms complementary base pairs with the 5' splice junction, thus defining the 5' donor site of an intron. Lineage: Eukaryota; Metazoa; Chordata; Mammalia; Rodentia; Cricetidae. The record is from RNAcentral.
AUAAUUACCUAGCAGGGGAGAUACCAUGAUCACAAAGGGACUUUUUCCCAGGGUGAGGCUUAUCCAUUGCACUCUGGAUGUGUGCUGACCCCUGUGGUUUCCACAAACAUGAGAAACUCAACUGCAUAAUUGGUGGUAAUGUCGGACAGUUUUGUGCUCUCCCUUA